CUAUUGAAGAAUGAACCGGCGAGUUAAUUUCAGAGGCGAGGUUAAGCGGGAGACGCGGAGCCGAAGCGAGAGCGAGUCUGAAUAGGGCGCAAGUCUCUGGGAUUAGACCCGAAACCACAGUGAUCUAUGCAUGGCCAGGUUGAAGCUCAGGUAAAAAUGAGUGGAGGACCGAACCCGUGAGUGUUGAAAAACUUUGGGAUGAGCUGUGCAUAGGGGUGAAAUGCCAAUCGAACGUGGAGAUAGCUGGUUCUCCCCGAAAUAGCUUUAGGGCUAGCCUCAGGUAACACAUGGAGACGGUAGAGCACUGAUCGGGUAAGGGAGCGUAAAGCUUACCGAGCCUAGUCAAACUGCGAAUGGCUUCAUGAGAAGAGCCUGGGAGUCAGAAUGCGAGUGAUAAGACCCGUAUUCAAAAGGGAAACAGCCCAGACCGCCGACUAAGGUCCCAAAUGCUGUACUAAGUGGAAAAGGAUGUAGGACUUCCAAAACAACCAGGAUGUUGGCUCAGAAGCAGCCACCAUUCAAAGAGUGCGUAAUAGCUCACUGGUCGAGAGGCCCUGCGCCGAAAAUAUCCGGGGCUCAAGUACAGAACCGAAGUCGCGGGAUGCGCAAGCAUCGGUAGGGGAGCGUUCCAAGCAGGUUGAAGGCAGACCGGAAGGACGGCUGGACAGCUUGGAAGUGAGAAUGCUGGUAUGAGUAGCGAAACGAUCCGUGAGAAUCGGAUCCACCGAAAGCCUAAGGGAUCCUGAGCAACGCUCGUCGUCUCAGGGUAAGUCGGGACCUAAGCCGAGGCAUAAAGCAUAGGCGAUGGACAACAGGCGAAAAUUCCUGUACUGCAUGAUGUUGUUUGAGGAUGGAGUGACACAGCAAGGAGCUUGAGCGCGCGAUUGGAAAUGCGCGUCGAAGGCGGUAGGCUGGUGCAGAGGCAAAUCCCUGUACUAAGGCCGAGAACUGAUAGAUAGACAAUCCCUUCGGGGAACGUCAAAUUCAAGCGUACUACACUGUCGAGAAAAGCUUCUAACGAGACAUCAUGUACCCGUACCAAAACCGACACAGGUAGGCGGGGAGAGAAUCCUAAGGUGCGCGGGAAAACCCUCGUUAAGGAACUCGGCAAAAUGCCUCCGUAACUUCGGGAAAAGGAGGACUCAUGUAGUGUGAAGAGCAGAAGCGCUUGGAGCAUGAAUGAGUGGCACAAGAGAGGCGCAAGCGACUGUUUACCACAAACACAGGUGCCUGCUAAAGCGAAAGCUGAUGUAUAGGUGCUGACACCUGCCCGGUGCUGGAAGGUUAAGAGGAGGGGUUAGACUUCGGUCGAAGCUCUGAAUUGAAGCCCCAGUAAACGGCGGCCGUAACUAUAACGGUCCUAAGGUAGCGAAAUUCCUUGUCGGGUAAGUUCC
RNAcentral lists this ribosomal RNA (1394 nucleotides) under human gut metagenome. RNAcentral describes it as "bacterial LSU rRNA". It matches the Rfam family "Bacterial large subunit ribosomal RNA", at positions 605 to 1984 of the family's 2925-position model. The record is from RNAcentral.